UCACUGAAAAUUUUUCUUUCUCUGCAUUUAUUUUUCUCUCAAAAUAAAAUCAAAGUGUCGAUCAACUGAGUCUGUGUGACUUGUUGCUGUUCUUCAGUUCGCUGAAGUUAUAGAAGUUUGAGGUACCGUUAUUUCUUUAACAGGUUUAAUCUGUUUUAUCUUGGGAGAAAUUAAUCCAUAACCUUAGGUACAAUGAGGGGAUUAAAUUUCUUAAGGACACACAGUAGUUUCUGUGGACUCGGAUUAAUUCUUGUAUUUUAAAUUUUUUCUGCUUCAUCUUGUUUCUGUUUCUGUUUAUUAACUUCAUAAAUACAAGUUAUUGUAAGAAUAACUGUUUGACAUAGUGAUUGAGUUGUGUAUUGUAUUCAUUGAUCCCUAAAAUAGAUAAAAGUUAAAAUUUUCCAGCCGUAUGUAAAAGUUGGUACCUAUGAAAAAUGUGUGAAAUUUGAGUCCUUGUAGAUGUCGAUGGACCUGUUGUAAUAUGAAAGUGCUACUUAUAGUCCCUCAUUUUUUGAGAUCUUCUUUUAGAAAAAUUCAACACUCAAUUGCAGAAGUUAUGGGAAAGAUUGAAUAAGCAUCAAUAUAUAUGGUGGAAUAGGAUCCUCUUAUUCUCAAAGUUAUCACACUAAUGCAAAAACUUAACAUCAAAUUCAAAAGUACAAGUAUGAAAUACACACACACAAAAAAAAAUAAAAAAAGGAAGUAGUAACAAGGCUUAAUUACUAUGAUGAUUAGAUCUAGUAACGCGACAAUGCAGAAGUUCCAUCAGCACCUCUAUUAAGGAUGUAAUUAGUGUGGUCUUUCACUGUGGUGGCACGAUAUUUGGAGGAUUAUCUUCUGACAAAAAUUCAGUAAUCGGCCCAUAAAGUUUGGAAGAUUCCACAUGACUUUCACGGAAGAAGCACGCAACUGACGUUCUUGAUCCAUCUCUGUUUGAAAUUGCUCUGUGCUCAGCACUUAAGUACUUCCAUUCGACAGGAGUUGCAAGGCGUUUGAAAAUGUUUAGUAUAACUUUUAAAGGGAAAAGGGUUUGAUAUAGCCCUCAACUUUGUCAUUUGGAGUUAAUAUAAAAAAAAAAAA
RNAcentral lists this long non-coding RNA (1080 nucleotides) under Solanum lycopersicum (tomato). RNAcentral describes it as "1459 transcript variant X2". The record is from RNAcentral. Lineage: Eukaryota; Viridiplantae; Streptophyta; Magnoliopsida; Solanales; Solanaceae.